RNA transcript from Panicum virgatum (switchgrass), 2198 nucleotides. It is a transcript of the gene named transcription factor TGAL4-like, with no coding region annotated. The transcript is spliced from 13 exons. Lineage: Eukaryota; Viridiplantae; Streptophyta; Magnoliopsida; Poales; Poaceae. The record is from RefSeq and is a predicted model, not a curated record.
AAGGUCCUAGGCCUCUCUCUCUCUCUCUCUCUCUCUCUCUCUCUCUCUCUCUCUCUCUCUCUCUCUCUCUGACCAAGACCAAGAAAACACAACAAACUUUUCUCUCUCUGGCUAUAAGGACAACAUAUUCAUCUGAACUGUGGGAUCGGCACACCGAUAGAAGCUGAAACUAUUACACUGUCAUAUCAAACAAGAAGCUGCGCGUGAGCAAGAGCAACUCAGAGUAGAAACGGUCAACAGAGUGCCUGCCCUGUUCUCUCCAACAGCUCUCCAAGGCUUCCAAGUUAUUUUGGUGUCUCCUGGGAUCUCGCUUGCUGUAGAUCUCUCAAACCUGGUGCUAGAAGCAGAAGGAUUUGAGGCUGCGGGCACGGAUAUAUCACAUAGGAGCUCCUCACAGCAUGGGAGAGACUAGUAGUUCUAGUCAUUCGAGGCAGGAUCCUUGUGCUCUUGGCUAUGGCUUCCAUGGUGCCAUCGCCAACUCUACUCCAAAUUUCUUUGACCAAGAAGGAGGUACCUAUUUUGGAGAGCUGGAAGAGGCUUUCAUGCGUCAGGUUGCCUCUCUCAGAAGAACUCAAGCUGCAACCACCUCCACAGCUCAUCAUGGAGACGCCACGCCCUUUUCCACUGCUACAGCUGCAACGGCUACAGCUAGGCCACCUCCUACACUGGACAUUUUCCCAGCUUGGCCUAUGAGGUCUCUUCACACACCCAAGAAGGGCUCAAUUUUGGCGGCAGACAGCACAGAAGACUCGGAGAGCAGCAGCAAGAACAACAGCAACCACUCCUCAGACCAGCAAGGAGCAACAGAAAACAUGGCAAGCCAGUUCGAUCAAGGUUCACAGCAACAAGAGGAGAUUCAGCACAAGAACAUGGCUACAAGUUCCACUACAAAGUCUGGCAAGACUCUUGAUCCAAAGACAAUCAGAAGGCUGGCUCAGAAUCGCGAAGCUGCACGCAAAAGCCGGCUACGAAAAAAGGCUUAUAUUCAGCAGCUUGAAAGUAGCAAGCUGAGGCUUGCUCAGAUGGAACAGGACAUGCAGCGAGCCCGUUCCCAGGGCCUCUUUCUUGGUGGAACUCCAGGUGCAAACACCAGCUCAGGCGCCGCAAUGUUCGACGUGGAGUAUGCCCGGUGGCUGGACGACCAUGGCCGGAGCAUGGGCGAGCUGCACUGAGCUCUGCACGCUCACUUGCCGGAUAGUGACCUUAGAGCCAUCGUGGACGACACCCUGACUCACCACGACGAGCUGUUCCAGCUCAAGGCCAUGGCAGCCAAGUCCGACGUGUUCCACCUCAUCACCGGGGUGUGGACGACCCCUGCCGAGCGAUGCUUCCUCUGGAUGGGUGGAUUCAGGCCCUCCGAUCUGCUCAAGACACUGCUGCCCCAGCUAGAUCCCCUGACAGAACAGCAACUGGUAGGCAUCUGCAACCUUCAGCAGUCAUCACAGCAGGCAGAGGAGGCUCUCUCCCAGGGCCUGGAGCAGCUGCAUCAGUCACUAGCUGAUACCAUGGCCGGUGGAUCUCUGAUUGAAGAUGCCAACAUGAGCUUCAUGGGUCAAAUGGCCCUUGCCCUUGGCAAGCUGUCCAACCUUGAAGGUUUCGUGAUACAGGCUGAUAACUUGAGGCAACAGACUCUUCAUCAGAUGCACAGGAUUCUCACAGUUCGACAGGCAGCUCGAUGUUUCUUGGCCAUUGGAGAGUACCACAACCGCCUUCGUGCCUUAAGCUCCCUCUGGGCUUCUCGGCCUCGAGAGAUGCUAGCGACAGAUGAAGGCAAUUGUGAAGAGAUAAGCAUUGCGGCACAACCAUCCCAAAGUCAAUUUUCAGCCUUCUGAAUCACAAAUGUUGUGGAACUAACCUUCAGCUUAGGAGCAAGAGAAAAACAACUUGGAAGAGAAGUUUUGGAUGCAAGCAAUAUUGAGAGCCACAGAAGAGAGCUGGGAAUGAAGGAAGCUUCCGAGAAAAAGGAGUAUUUCUGGAAUAUUUUUGGGGAAACAGAAGUUGUUUCUUAAAAAUGUGUGGAAGUUGUACAAACAAUUUCCAGGAGGUGAAACUGUGGAGUGUAGAAGGGGAGGCAAAAAAGAACAGCUAGAAUCUGUUAUCCAGUAUUGUGCAUUCUUUGGGUUCUGUCCAGUCUAAAUUCUCAAACAAGCUCUUCCUAUUUAAUGAAAAAAAUUAUUCAGCAAUUCUGUCGAUGAUUA